CGCCGAUUCAGAGAGAGGGAAGGGGAAACAGAAAGCGAAGAGGGCGGCGGCAGGGCUGCGCCGCCAAGGUCUAGCGGCUCCCACCCCUUCCACUUCCACCGAUCCAACGCCUUCGUCUACAUCCAGGCGCUCAUCGGUUCCCCUUCUGCUCCGUCCUCCACUCCACCUUCCUGUCCGCCCGGUCUGCUCGCAUGUACCUCUUCCUGUCUCCUCCACUCUGCUCUUUUGCUUAUGCUUGGAUAUACUCUGCUCUGCUGCCUGCGGUAGGAUGCUCUGCUCCGUGUGAAUGUGUGCCUGAUGGCCGAUUCAUGUGCUUGUGCUUUACUGCAUUUUGCUUAGUUUAUCUAAUUGGUACUCUCGGCUUCCGAACUGGCAGCAACAACGUAUGUUUAUGCUGCUCCAUCCUAGGUUAGGAUAUGAGUAUGGCGUCGUGAGUAUUCUGUGAGGUCCUGUAUCUUAGCAUUUUGUGCUGCUGCUCACAGCAUUCUUGCCUAUUGUAGAGCUUAUCAUAAGCUUUUAAUGGAAUCUAAGGUCAACGAAAUGAGUAUCGGGAGUGAAAAGUUAUGCAAAAAAAUAUGAAGUGGUGCAAAAUGCAUGAAGAGGAUAAAACACCAGAUCAUCCUAUUAGUGAAAAUUCACUCACAGGAUAAAACACCAGAUUAUCCUAUUAGUAAAAAUUCACUCACAGGCAAAGUGCAGCAGUAUGUUAUAUUUUGUUCUGUGUGGAAUCGAUUCUAAUGUGGUCUUAAGCCCACUAGCUGCAGCCUGCAGCUCACAGCAUUCUUGCCUGUUAGUCGGCGGCUUCAAUUUUCUAAAGCGGCGGCAGCAGAUGAUAAUGUAACCUCAUUUGCAUGGGCUUCUUGACCCGUGAGAGUUCACAGUAGCUCUGUUGUUUUCUUUUUACUAGAGUAGCUUUGUUGUAACUAGAGUAAAUUAAUUAAUCUUUUUACUAGAGUAGCUUUGUUGUAACUAGAGUAAAUUAAUUAAUCACAUGAUGCUCGUCUUAGUUCAGAACGUAGCUCUUUUGUUUUCGUUCAACCUGUGGUGCAGCAGCAGCUCAGUAGUUUCAGUUCUCUGCCGGUCCCGAUUUUUAUGACUAAGCGAAACUUUCGAUGCUCUUUACGUGUCUGUUUGGUCGUGCUGUAGCCGGCUUGCCGCUCUCCUCCAGACCAUCAACACAGCAGGCAGCGCCAACAGCAGCUGCACGAUUUCUUUUGUUUUGAUUUUUGAUCUCCCCUCUUUCCUUCCUUUUUUUUUGACCCUUGUAAUUUUUGGUCUUGGCAUCUUGAGGAGGGGCCUGUGAUCGACCCCUUCUGCCGAGUAGUCGUAUGUAGCAGCAGUUUCAGUUGCAAGGAAAGUGGUUACUGGUCAGAUGAGGUUGCUUGCUUGUGGCACAUGCCUCAUGAUCAUCAGCUUGCCUACUUGUAGGGGCAAUCACGCCUCUCCUAUUACUAGUGCUACCUGUUAUUGGUAUGGAGGAGAUGAACAAUGAGUACCUCCUGUUAUUGCCAAUUUUCCAUGGACUGGAAGAUAAUCAGAUAUGCACAAUUGAGUAUUGCCAGUACUGUCAUUUUCCUGAAUGUUUAAUCUCUUGGGAUCUCAUUUACCAGCAGCAGCACAUCAUGAACGAACACCUGAGCAUACUUGCGACUGUGAUCUACCAUGGAUCUCACUCAAUUCAGUUCAGGUUACCAGAUUCCGAUGAAUACCUGAUCAAGCAAAGAGGCAAGGUAGAAGAUGCUCCGUCGUCGUCCAGUUGCGCCAGAACAGAGGAAAGUAAAAUAAGGUUAAAAUAAUGGGGGCGGAAUGCGGAGGACUGCACUCCGACUGCCCACUGGGCCCCCAGCACCUGCUACCCCGCGUAUGGGAGACUACACAUGCUGCAGCACGGGCUCGCCUGUUAGUUCGUUGCUGCAGCUGGGCCCGUCCGCUUGGGCCCAUAAGCAUUUGCAGGCCAGCAGUAUAACCCAACAACAGCCUGCUGGGCCUAGAGAGACUAGCGUGCCGAAUCGGCCUGCAAGGCCAGCUUGCAGGCCCUACAUGCAAGGUAGUGGACCGUCUGAUACUCCAAUAAGUAUUCAAGUAGCUCGUUUAUCUUUUUCUUUUUAAACACAGCAGACGCAGAGCUUCAAAUAAGAUUGGUGGCAUCCAUAUAUUCACCACAACAUCAUACUUCCUAGCACCCUGUGUGAAUGACUACACAAAUUCAUGAGAUUCGUUUUUUGUCAAAAAAAAGCAUGAAUUUAAAAUUUUUAAAAUAUCUAUAAUCAUUAUAAGAGGAAGAACUUAUGUAAAAAACGAUAUGUGAUCAUUGGUCACAAAAUGUGAGCAACCUACCUCUAGUCGACUAGUCCC
Molecule: long non-coding RNA, 2355 nt
Filed under: Setaria viridis
Lineage: Eukaryota; Viridiplantae; Streptophyta; Magnoliopsida; Poales; Poaceae
Description: long non-coding RNA (SVIR_LNC011358)
Source: RNAcentral